RNAcentral lists this small nucleolar RNA (107 nucleotides) under Gossypium raimondii (Peruvian cotton). RNAcentral describes it as "snoRNA LOC128032730". It matches the Rfam family "Plant small nucleolar RNA R71". Rfam says of the family: R71 is a member of the C/D box family of snoRNAs containing the C (UGAUGA) and D (CUGA) box motifs. The record is from Rfam by way of RNAcentral. Lineage: Eukaryota; Viridiplantae; Streptophyta; Magnoliopsida; Malvales; Malvaceae.
AAACUAUGCAUCGGGCGUUUUCUAAUUAACUCCUUGAAUUGCUCCCAUGCUUCAUAUAAUGUUUCGUCCUCAGAUUUCCAAAAGGACAUAAUAUCAUUCCUCAGUUU